AUUGAACGCUGGCGGCAGGCUUAACACAUGCAAGUCGAGCGGGGUGAUGGUGCUUGCACUAUCACUUAGCGGCGGACGGGUGAGUAAUGCUUAGGAAUCUGCCUAUUAGUGGGGGACAACAUCUCGAAAGGGAUGCUAAUACCGCAUACGUCCUACGGGAGAAAGCAGGGGAUCACUUGUGACCUUGCGCUAAUAGAUGAGCCUAAGUCGGAUUAGCUAGUUGGUGGGGUAAAGGCCUACCAAGGCGAGGAUCUGUAGCGGGUCUGAGAGGAUGAUCCGCCACACGGGGACUGGGACACGGCCCAGACUCCUACGGGAGGAAGCAGUGGGGAAUAUUGGACAAUGGGGGAACCCUGAUCCAGCCAUGCCGCGUGUGUGAAGAAGGCCUUAUGGUUGUAAAGCACUUUAAGCGAGGAGGAGGCUCUUUUGGUUAAUACCCAAGAUGAGUGGACGUUACUCGCAGAAUAAGCACCGGCUAACUCUGUGCCAGCAGCCGCCGUAA
This 502-nucleotide ribosomal RNA is filed under the name uncultured bacterium. RNAcentral describes it as "partial 16S ribosomal RNA". It matches the Rfam family "Bacterial small subunit ribosomal RNA", at positions 30 to 523 of the family's 1533-position model. The record is from RNAcentral.